GUCUUAGAGUUUGCAAGACCUCCAUGCACACCUUCCCUGAGCUUGUCAGAAACAGCUGCAAUCUGCUCAUCUUCCAAAUGAGGAUAAUCACCUCUACCCUUCGUCCCUCAUGGACUGCUGUGAUGAUUGAAUGAGAUAAUGGACGGGAAAUAAUUUCGCAAAGAAGAGGGCACAACAAAUGGCAGUAGGGUGCAGAUCACAAAUUCCCUCAUUGUUAUUGUUAUCGUGUUAAUUUGACUGUUAACUAUUCUAUGUCCACCUUUGUAAAAGAAGCAUGUGUCCAUCAUUUUACUUUUUAACCAAUCUCAAAGGUUUCCCGUUUUCCUUUCUCCCACCUCCAUAAUCUAUCACCAAUGGAUUUCACCUAUGUCUCCUCCUUUGAUGGUAAUUUAUAAAAAUAGAUGGAAAA
Molecule: long non-coding RNA, 409 nt
Organism: Myotis daubentonii (Daubenton's bat)
Lineage: Eukaryota; Metazoa; Chordata; Mammalia; Chiroptera; Vespertilionidae
Exons: 3
Source: RefSeq, a predicted model, not a curated record